UCUGCCGGAUUUUCGGCACGACUUAGGACGUACUUGAUCUUUUUCUUUGUUUGUAUUGAGUCAAAUUUAUUAAAUAGAUGUAAUGUAAUUGUCAGGUGAGCCGGGACAGCCUUCUUCCUCCGCCCAGCCGCCACAGUAAUUUGUCGUCAAGUCUGCCGCAGGAGGAUAUUUUGUUCUGAGUUAACCUGCCUUUCUACUUCGCAGGUUGUUUAUUAAUAUUUGUGUAAUUUUAAUUACUCCUAGAAUUUCCGCAUGUGUUAGCAGUAAUUAUUUGAAUUUGGUCUGUAAUAUUAUUAUCAUGUUGGACCUGUAAACUUAAUAUUUUAAGUCUGUUUUGAUGGAUUGGAUGAGGGAGCUGAGCUCCCAAUUAUUAUUAUGUUGAUGAGUAUGUGGAGGGUGAGCUGAGCUCCCCAAUGGAUUGUUUAUUGUGUUUACAGGUCGGGUGAGUCAAAAACUCCCCGUUGGUAA
This is a long non-coding RNA of Hevea brasiliensis (rubber tree), 468 nucleotides long. RefSeq lists it as uncharacterized. NCBI's taxonomy places the organism in Eukaryota, Viridiplantae, Streptophyta, Magnoliopsida, Malpighiales, Euphorbiaceae. The record is from RefSeq and is a predicted model, not a curated record. The transcript is spliced from 2 exons.